GCCUGGUUAGCUCAGAUGGUAGAGUGCCCCCCUGGAAAUGGAGAGGACUCUAAAUCGAUUCUAGGACCAAGCG
Molecule: transfer RNA, 73 nt
Filed under: Ixodes scapularis (black-legged tick)
Lineage: Eukaryota; Metazoa; Arthropoda; Arachnida; Ixodida; Ixodidae
Rfam family: tRNA
About the family: Transfer RNA (tRNA) molecules are approximately 80 nucleotides in length. Their secondary structure includes four short double-helical elements and three loops (D, anti-codon, and T loops). Further hydrogen bonds mediate the characteristic L-shaped molecular structure. tRNAs have two regions of fundamental functional importance: the anti-codon, which is responsible for specific mRNA codon recognition, and the 3' end, to which the tRNAs corresponding amino acid is attached (by aminoacyl-tRNA synthetases). tRNAs cope with the degeneracy of the genetic code in two manners: having more than one tRNA (with a specific anti-codon) for a particular amino acid; and 'wobble' base-pairing, i.e. permitting non-standard base-pairing at the 3rd anti-codon position.
Source: Rfam by way of RNAcentral